UGGCAGCUGUUCAGGGUGUGGUUGA
RNAcentral lists this non-coding RNA (25 nucleotides) under Rattus norvegicus (Norway rat). Lineage: Eukaryota; Metazoa; Chordata; Mammalia; Rodentia; Muridae. The record is from RNAcentral.